RNAcentral lists this unclassified non-coding RNA (824 nucleotides) under Hevea brasiliensis (rubber tree). The record is from RNAcentral. Lineage: Eukaryota; Viridiplantae; Streptophyta; Magnoliopsida; Malpighiales; Euphorbiaceae.
AUAAUAAUAAUAAUAAUAAUCUCACAGAAGACACAAAAAUCUGCUACUGUUGUUUCUAACGUAUCUUUUUUUUAAGAUUCCAAUCAUUUUUCCCUGAAAAAUACAGUGUUGUAUCAAUUCCUUUCAUACAACUACAACAAGCAAAUGCAGAUAUGGAUAUCUAUGCACAGAGAAGAAACAAUCCCCCCUCCCCAAGGUAAGCAAAAUUGAAGAGAGAGACAAAAAAAAGGGAGACCUUUUACAGGGCUGCAUUCCAUCAAGUUUCUUCUCUUGUUGCAAGAGAACAAGAAUGGUGAAGGAAAUUCAAAUAAAAAUAUUUUCUGCUUGCAAUUAUGAAAAAUUUACAGCAGAAUCUUAGUUGCUUAUGCGAUCUAACAAAAAUUGGAUCCCAAAGGUCUUCAAACAGGGAUGGAAAAAGCUUGGAAUUAUAUUGUGUCUGUGAUCAUAGGCUAGUUCAAGUUUAUUUCACAUGCAAAACAAAUGCCACUGCAUCAUGCAAUAAUAAAUUUAAGAAAUAUAGUGCUAAUGACUUGAAAUAUCCAAUAUUAGUUCAAUAUUCAGUUAAGGCCAAUGCUUUUAAGUGUCAAUUAACAUUUACUUUGUUGUUAGCAUCAAUUAUGGCUUGCAAAUGUUUAUUAAAUAACUCAUAUAAAUUAAAAAAUUAACCAUAAUCGAAAAUCGGACCAAAGGCUUACUUUUUUCAAGGUAUUAACCAGUAGCUUAAUGGUAAAAAAAAAGAAUAAAAAUCUUUUGGGUGUUUUUGUAAUUUUGUCCAAUCCUUUUAACUUCAGCAAUUAUUUUCUUGAUUUUAAAACUUAGUUGUA